This 564-nucleotide ribosomal RNA is filed under the name uncultured bacterium. Its description in RNAcentral is "bacterial SSU rRNA". It matches the Rfam family "Bacterial small subunit ribosomal RNA", at positions 8 to 559 of the family's 1533-position model. The record is from RNAcentral.
AGAGUUUGAUCCUGGCUCAGGAUGAACGCUGGCUACAGGCUUAACACAUGCAAGUCGAGGGGAAACGGCAUUGAGUGCUUGCACUGAAUGGACGUCGACCGGCGCACGGGUGAGUAACGCGUAUCCAACCUUCCCGUUACUGCGGGAUAACCUGCCGAAAGGCAGACUAAUACCGCAUGUUCUUCGAUGACGGCAUCAGAUUCGAAGCAAAGAUUCAUCGGUAACGGAGGGGGAUGCGUCUGAUUAGCUUGUUGGCGGGGCGACGGCCCACCAAGGCGACGAUCAGUAGGGGUUCUGAGAGGAAGGUCCCCCACAUUGGAACUGAGACACGGUCCAAACUCCUACGGGAGGCAGCAGUGAGGAAUAUUGGUCAAUGGGCGGAAGCCUGAACCAGCCAAGUAGCGUGCAGGAGGACGGCCCUACGGGUUGUAAACUGCUUUUAUGCGGGGAUAAAGUGAGGGACGUGUCCCUUCUUGCAGGUACCGCAUGAACAAGGACCGGCUAAAUCCGCGCCAGCAGCCGUGGUAAUACGGAAAGCCCGGGCCGCCUCCGGAUUUAUCGGGU